GACGAACGCUGGCGGCGUGCCUAAUACAUGCCAGUUGAGCGCUGAAGGUUGGUACUUGUACCAACUGGAUGAGCAGCGAACGGGUGAGUAACGCGUGGGGAAUCUGCCUUUGAGCGGGGGACAACAUUUGGAAACGAAUGCUAAUACCGCAUAAAAACUUUAAACACAAGUUUUAAGUUUGAAAGAUGCAAUUGCAUCACUCAAAGAUGAUCCCGCGUUGUAUUAGCUAGUUGGUGAGGUAAAGGCUCACCAAGGCGAUGAUACAUAGCCGACCUGAGAGGGUGAUCGGCCACAUUGGGACUGAGACACGGCCCAAACUCCUACGGGAGGCAGCAGUAGGGAAUCUUCGGCAAUGGACGAAAGUCUGACCGAGCAACGCCGCGUGAGUGAAGAAGGGUUUCGGAUCGUAAAACUCUGUUGGUAGAGAAGAACGUUGGUGAGAGUGGAAAGCUCAUCAAGUGACGGUAACUACCCAGAAGGGGACGGCUAACUACGUG
RNAcentral lists this ribosomal RNA (497 nucleotides) under uncultured bacterium. RNAcentral describes it as "partial 16S ribosomal RNA". It matches the Rfam family "Bacterial small subunit ribosomal RNA", at positions 28 to 507 of the family's 1533-position model. The record is from RNAcentral.